CAGUAGCCGCGGUAAUACGUAGGGUGCAAGCGUUAAUCGGAAUUACUGGGCGUAAAGCGUGCGCAGGCGGUUCGUUAAGACAGAUGUGAAAUCCCCGGGCUUAACCUGGGAACUGCAUUUGUGACUGGCGGGCUAGAGUAUGGCAGAGGGGGGUAGAAUUCCACGUGUAGCAGUGAAAUGCGUAGAGAUGUGGAGGAAUACCGAUGGCGAAGGCAGCCCCCUGGGCCAAUACUGACGCUCAUGCACGAAAGCGUGGGGAGCAAACAGGAUUAGAUACCCCGGUAGUCCCUGUCUCUUAUAC
RNAcentral lists this ribosomal RNA (301 nucleotides) under uncultured bacterium. RNAcentral's name for it is "partial 16S ribosomal RNA". It matches the Rfam family "Bacterial small subunit ribosomal RNA", at positions 509 to 807 of the family's 1533-position model. The record is from RNAcentral.